This 497-nucleotide ribosomal RNA is filed under the name uncultured bacterium. Its description in RNAcentral is "partial 16S ribosomal RNA". It matches the Rfam family "Bacterial small subunit ribosomal RNA", at positions 28 to 507 of the family's 1533-position model. The record is from RNAcentral.
GAUGAACGCUGGCGGCGUGCCUAAUACAUGCAAGUCGAGCGAACAGAUGAGGAGCUUGCUCCUCUGACGUUAGCGGCGGACGGGUGAGUAACACGUGGAUAACCUACCUAUAAGACUGGGAUAACUUCGGGAAACCGGAGCUAAUACCGGAUAAUAUAUUGAACCGCAUGGUUCAAUAGUGAAAGACGGUUUGGCUGUAACUUAUAGAUGGAUCCGCGCCGCAUUAGCUAGUUGGUAAGGUAACGGCUUACCAAGGCAACGAUGCGUAGCCGACCUGAGAGGGUGAUCGGCCACACUGGAACUGAGACACGGUCCAGACUCCUACGGGAGGCAGCAGUAGGGAAUCUUCCGCAAUGGGCGAAAGCCUGACGGAGCAACGCCGCGUGAGUGAUGAAGGUCUUCGGAUCGUAAAACUCUGUUAUUAGGGAAGAACAAAUGUGUAAGUAACUAUGCACGUCUUGACGGUACCUAAUCAGAAAGCCACGGCUAACUACGUG